GCCCAGGUGGCGAAAUUGGUAGACGCACUGGAUUUAGGUUCCAGCGCCGCAAGGUGUGGAGGUUCGAGUCCUCUCCUGGGCACCA
This 85-nucleotide transfer RNA is filed under the name Methyloversatilis universalis. It matches the Rfam family "tRNA". Rfam says of the family: Transfer RNA (tRNA) molecules are approximately 80 nucleotides in length. Their secondary structure includes four short double-helical elements and three loops (D, anti-codon, and T loops). The record is from RNAcentral. RNAcentral also lists the same sequence under 3 other names. Lineage: Bacteria; Pseudomonadati; Pseudomonadota; Betaproteobacteria; Nitrosomonadales; Sterolibacteriaceae.